Long non-coding RNA from Vidua macroura (Pin-tailed whydah), 619 nucleotides. RefSeq lists it as uncharacterized. The record is from RefSeq and is a predicted model, not a curated record. The transcript has 3 exons. NCBI's taxonomy places the organism in Eukaryota, Metazoa, Chordata, Aves, Passeriformes, Viduidae.
UGGAAGGAGAAGCACAAGAAUCAGUCUUUACCCAGGCAAGAGUUUGACUGUCAGCUACAGCCUUUGCAGAGAUGAAGUUUAAACACCAAGCCCCAGGAAAUGUCAAGCCUCUGUCAGCAGCAGGAGCACAUCCAAGACUGGCACUGCAGGAUGCUCCAGGUGGCAGAAGAAUGCUAAGACAUGGAUAUGAAGCAUUCACCAAACAAAAAUCCCCAAGAGCAGCCAUGCUACACAGCCAUGGUGACCAGGAGCAAUGAUUCAUCUGGAAUCUGAACCGACUCAAGCAGCUCCAAGGGAAAGAUGUUUCUGGGAUUGCAGGAGAGCAGCAGGAACAGCACAGGCCCUCCAAAUCAGGCUCCUGGGGGUGGCUUCUGCCUCCUACUCCAGAUUUAGGUGUCAAGUUCUCUUGCGAAGUCCAUACCCAUCGUGCAAAUCUGCACAUGGAGGAAAGCAAAGGCAAGGGGAAGCAGGAGAAGGGCAGCCCUGCUGCACAUCUCAAGGCUAUUCCUACCCUUAAAAAAUGGCCUUCCCCAACUUCUUGGAUGUGUCUCUACAAUUUUGAUUCCAGUGAGAUACUGAAUUUUAAAACUUAGCUCAGUAAAAUCUGAUUUAAUUCUGA